This 220-nucleotide unclassified non-coding RNA is filed under the name soil metagenome. RNAcentral's name for it is "partial contains 5.8S ribosomal RNA, internal transcribed spacer 2, and large subunit ribosomal RNA". The record is from RNAcentral.
AACCUAGCACACCUGCGGUGUGUACCUGCGGAGGGAUCAUUAUCGAGUUACCACUCUAUAACCCUUUGUGAACAUACCUACAUGUUGCUUCGGCGGUCGGCCCCCCGGGCCCCCGGCCCCGCUCACGCGGGGCGUCCGCCGGAGGAUAACCAAACUCUGAUUUAACGACGUUUCUUCUGAGUGGCACAAGCAAAUAAUCAAAACUUUUAGCAACGGAUCU